UACGGAGGGGACUAGCGUUGUUCGGAAUUACUGGGCGUAAAGCGCACGUAGGCGGAUUUGUAAGUCAGGGGUGAAAUCCCGGGGCUCAACCUCGGAACUGCCUUUGAUACUGCAAAUCUCGAGUCCGGAAGAGGUGAGUGGAAUUCCUAGUGUAGAGGUGAAAUUCGUAGAUAUUAGGAAGAACACCAGUAGCGAAGGCGGCUCACUGGUCCGGUACUGACGCUGAGGUGCGAAAGCGUGGGGAGCAAACAGG
RNAcentral lists this ribosomal RNA (253 nucleotides) under uncultured bacterium. RNAcentral describes it as "partial 16S ribosomal RNA". It matches the Rfam family "Bacterial small subunit ribosomal RNA", at positions 524 to 776 of the family's 1533-position model. The record is from RNAcentral.